GAGUAUAUUUUAAUUGGUAGAAAGUAUAUUUUGCAAAUAUAAAGUUAUCGGUUCGAAUCCGAUUCUUCUCA
Molecule: transfer RNA, 71 nt
Filed under: Phytophthora captiosa
Lineage: Eukaryota; Oomycota; Peronosporomycetes; Peronosporales; Peronosporaceae
Description: tRNA-Val
Rfam family: tRNA
About the family: Transfer RNA (tRNA) molecules are approximately 80 nucleotides in length. Their secondary structure includes four short double-helical elements and three loops (D, anti-codon, and T loops).
Source: RNAcentral